RNAcentral lists this non-coding RNA (45 nucleotides) under Schistosoma haematobium. The record is from RNAcentral. Lineage: Eukaryota; Metazoa; Platyhelminthes; Trematoda; Strigeidida; Schistosomatidae.
AUCCAGUUGACGCGUUCCAAAUAGGACGAAACGCGCGUCCUGGAU